ACCGGCCGAACGCCUAAUUCCAAGACGUCCGACGUCUGGAAGCCGGGGACCCACCGUCUUUGGGGUGAAUCCGCGAUUCCCGUCGCGGUAGGGCCUGCUCCUGGUCCGAAUCCGUCAGCUAACCCGGUAGGCAGUCAAGGAGAGGAGAA
RNAcentral lists this small RNA (149 nucleotides) under Actinomadura sp. RNAcentral describes it as "c-di-AMP sequence". It matches the Rfam family "c-di-AMP riboswitch aptamer (ydaO/yuaA leader)". Rfam says of the family: This family represents a conserved RNA structure found upstream of the ydaO and yuaA genes in Bacillus subtilis and related genes in other bacteria. The ydaO/yuaA element is thought to act as a genetic "off" switch for the ydaO and yuaA genes in its native state. It is believed that the element may be triggered during osmotic shock leading to activation of ydaO, a predicted amino acid transporter gene, and members of the yuaA-yubG operon which code for KtrA and KtrB K+ transporters. Lineage: Bacteria; Bacillati; Actinomycetota; Actinomycetes; Streptosporangiales; Thermomonosporaceae. The record is from RNAcentral.